Hippoglossus stenolepis (Pacific halibut) is the source of this 937-nucleotide RNA transcript. It is a transcript of the gene named EKC/KEOPS complex subunit LAGE3, with no coding region annotated. Lineage: Eukaryota; Metazoa; Chordata; Actinopteri; Pleuronectiformes; Pleuronectidae. The transcript is spliced from 4 exons. The record is from RefSeq and is a predicted model, not a curated record.
CGGAAGAAGAAGUCCCUUCCUGUCCGGUCACUUCAACACAAACAAGAUGGCGGCGCCAGGCGGAGAGAACGAGGAUGCUCGCGGGAAAACAAACCCUGAACCCGGGAAACUGGAGUUCUCUCUGGACGUCCCUUUCCCGACGUCCCGAGAAGCCGAGGUCGCUCUGUGCUCUCUGUCCCCCGACCGAGAGCCGAGGAAAGGAGGCAUCAGUAAACAUCUGUCUGUGUCCGGCCGCACGUUGUCUGUGAGGUGGAGCGCAGACGAAGCUCGAAUCCUCCGAGUGUCUGUGAACUCGUUUCUGGAUCAUCUGUCGCUCGUUGUCGAGACCAUGCAGAUGUUUGGCCCCCCCGUUUCCCAGUGACGCUUCUCUACGGAUUCACGAGUCCGAGUCUUGGAUCUUGGACUUUUCCACCCGACUCAGAUAUUUCGGAGAACUUUGGGUUCACUCCUCCUCCGACCACGGCCAGCAGGUUGGAUCGGUGCAGCAUGGAGCAGAGGGCCACGCUGCCGACCUGCUCGUGGUCUGAAGCACAAAACACACAGAACCGAUCUUUAGAGACCCGAGUACGAAACAGAAAGUGUGGCAGCGAGCAGUGAGACCCACUCACCCAGGUGACCCUUCUCCAUCAGCGGCUCCACGUUGUAGAUCCUGACGCCCGUCUCCAUCGCACAGCAGAAACAACCUGGUGAUAAAAGACAAAGAUGCUAUUUAAAUAAGUUUACUCACAGGCAGCGGUGACGUGACAACCAAUCACAACACGCUGCGCCUGACAGGUUUUAGAUCAUCAUAUUGUUUUGAUGUAGUUUUGAGAUUUGGGGAUAUUCUGCUUCAAUAACAUGUUUGUAUCUUGUACUUGUGGAAAAUAAUGUCAAAAAUACACAUUUGUGUGUAGUUGUAAAUCACAACAGAUAUAAUUAAACAUUUUCUCUGAUGCUC